RNA transcript from Oncorhynchus masou masou (cherry salmon), 3059 nucleotides. It is a transcript of the gene named vacuole membrane protein 1-like, with no coding region annotated. The transcript is spliced from 7 exons. Lineage: Eukaryota; Metazoa; Chordata; Actinopteri; Salmoniformes; Salmonidae. The record is from RefSeq and is a predicted model, not a curated record.
CUCUUCUUUUUGUCUGUGUUGUUCUGAAUCUAAACACUCCUACCCUAUGGGCUUGUCCUCUAAAACUCUCAACAACAGGCACUAACUGAUAUUCUCUCACCUUUGCUCUCUCUGCCUCUCUUUCUCUCUCACACUUGCCCUCUCUCACCCCUGCCACUCUCUGCUUCGCCUCUCUCUAUCACUUGCCCUCUCUCACCAUCUCUGACCCUCUCUCCCUCCCUCACUCUCUCAUUUGCCGUCUCUCACCCUCUCUAUCUCCCUCACUCUCUCAUUUGCCAUCUCUCACCCUCUCUGCCCCUCUCCCUCCCUCACUCUCUCUCUCUCACUCUCUCCUCACUGCUCCCCCUCUCUUUCUGUGGCGCACUUUCACUUUCUGCCUUGUUUACCUUCUCUCACUCUUGGCCCUCCCUCCUUUCUCUAGAACAGAGUAGGGUGCACACAGUGCACACGCUCAACCUCCUACUGUCUCUCCUACUUCGUUUUUCUCUCACUCUGCCUGAGUCUCCCAUGGCUGACUGUCUCUCUGUCUUCAGUGAAGCUGGCGCUGUCUCUCUGUCUGUGUGUCUGUCCCCUGUGUGCAGCACAUGUUGAUGAGCUUCCUGUGGUGUGCCUACUGGGUAGACUUGGGUAACCUGUCCUCUGUGGGACUGGGGACUGGCAUGCACACCAUCCUCCUGUACCUGGGUCCACACAUAGCUUCAGUGAUCCUUGCAGCAUAUGAAUGUAGUUCAGUGGACUUCCCGGAGCCCCCCUACCCAGAGAAGAUCAUCUGCCCCCAGGAGGAAUUCCUGUUGGGGGAGACUGAGGCCGGGGUCCGGGGGGGGGGGGCAGCAGCAGCUGUACAGUGAGGCAUCUCCUUCUGGACCAUCAUCGUCAAGGUCCGCCUGGAAGCCUGCAUGUGGAUGAGUCUACUGUAACUAGAGCUGCUCCCUUACUUCAUGGCGUAGACAGCGAGGCUAUCUGGAGCAGACCCUGGUGAUAAAGACUACGACAAGUUUUAAGUUGCUGGAGCAGGCCGAGACUCCACAGGACUUGCAGUGCAAGUGCAGAAAAUGGUUCAGAGGGUUGGAUUCUUUGUAAUUCUAGUCUGCGCCUCUAUUACCAAUCCAAUGUUUGACCUGGCAGAUAUAACAUGGUUUCCUUUCGGACCUUUUUUUGGAGCAACGCUAUUUGGGAAAGCCACAUUCAGAAACUGUUUGUGAUCAUAACCUUCAGCAGGCACAUAGUGGAGCAGAUGGUGUCUCUGAUUGGGCCAAGACAACCCACCUGGCCAUCACAACGUGGCUUCAUGUGUUCAUGUCCAAGCUGUGGAGCUACUCAUCUAUUUAUGAAUCAGUUUGUUUUAUUCUGUGAUGAUUUUAGCCUUGUUGAUGAAUUCAGCCACAAACAACGAUUAUGUUGUAUGCCUUGAUAUAACAGCACAAUUCCUGUCUGAUCUUAGUCAGCAUCAUUAGUGUUUUGUAUAAUGUAGCAUCAGACUGUGGUCUGUUAUGAUGCUCAAGUCUGUAUGAUGCUGACUUCAGCACUUCUCCCCAGAGCUUGAAGACCAGUCAUCAAAGAACAGUCCAGUCCAACUCUGAUCCUCCUGAGUCCCGAGUCACAGGCCUGAUUUUACGGCUCUGCCUGUCCGUUUAUAAGAACACGAAGCAGGGCAGGGCACAGCUCCAACUAAGGCCACUCAUUCAACAUUAACACAAACAAAGAAAUUGUAAAAAUGCCCAUUCAGAACAAUGGCAGCCAAGGUAAUGAGUCAAAGGAUGUGUUUUAGUAGGGGGUUGUGUGUAAAUAGGGGUUAUUUAUAAAAACGUACCGUAAAACUGUUUUACAUUUACUACCUGUUGUUCCCAACGGGUAAUUUCCCCAUACAAAGCGCCUAGACUAAAUAACAACUAUUGGCUCUCUUAUACAUAUUUAACACCUUGAGGCAGACAUCGGUGUUCAAUUUGAUUAGAUUAGAUUAGUCUUAUUUUUUUGACAAAUGAAUGGAAGAAUCUGUUACUUGAUUGUACUUGCAUGUUAUUUAGUAAUUAUUGAUCAUUCUUUGCAUGUUUAGUCAUUUUUCCCAUUAGUCAUCAACUAAUGGUUUUAAAUGUUUUAUGUUUUGUUUAUUUAUAUUGAGAAUCUAAAUGUAGUCACUGUUUUUCAAUGUUUUCUGGUUUUGCUUGGUUGACCAUAAAUACCUUUUCGCCUGAGGUAAUAACAGUGGUUGUAAAGCACUUGUACUAGCAAUAAAAAAAAGCUAUUUUGUAGUGAAAAUGGCUAAAACUGUAUUGUUGUGGCAUUAGGAGGAAGUAGAUCUUGAACAGCACUUUCACUGGCUGUCUGUACGUUAGAUAGACACACAUCCUGCCCAACGUGUAUGCACAACCUAGCCCUAGCCUCAAACCUGAAACUAACUAUUACUGUGCACAAAAUGUUGUUACUUGUUAUUGUGUUAUUUUUUAGUGAUAUAAUGUAAGCACCACAGGGGUGGGGCACAGACCCCCAUCCACAUCGAUGGGGCUGCAGUUGAAAAGGUUGGGUCCCUCAAAUCCUCAAAAAGUUCUACAUCUGCACCUUUGAGAGCAUCUUCACUGACUGCAUCACUGCUUGGUAUGGCAACAGCACCUCGAUCGCAUGGCGCUACAGAGGGUGGUGCGGACAGCCCAGUACUUCACUGGGGCCGAGCUCCCUGCCAUCCAGAAUUUGAUUUGAUAUUAGGCGGUGUGAAUGGAAGGGCAGGCAAAUUGUUAAAGACUCCAGCCACCCAAGCGAUUAGACUGCUCUCCCUGCUUCCUUAUGGCAAGUGGUGCCGGUGUAUCAAGUCUGACACCGACAGCCUCAAUAAUAGUUUAUAUCCCCAAGCCAUUAGACUGCUAAAUAGCUAACAGAAUGGCUACACAUGCACACACAUACACACAAUCAUCAUUUACUCUGCUGCUACUCUGUUUAUCAUAUAUCCUGAUGCCUCGUCACCUUACCCGUAUACAUACAUGUAUCUACCUCUAUCACUCCAGUAUCCCUGCACAUUGUUAAUGGUAUUGGAACCGACUCUGUAUAAAGCUUCUUACUUUCUUGUG